Molecule: transfer RNA, 70 nt
Filed under: chicken gut metagenome
Rfam family: tRNA
About the family: Transfer RNA (tRNA) molecules are approximately 80 nucleotides in length. Their secondary structure includes four short double-helical elements and three loops (D, anti-codon, and T loops).
Source: RNAcentral
CGAAAUAGCUCAGUUGGUAGAGCAACCGUCUCGUAAUCGGUAGGUCGUAGGUUCAAGUCCUAUUUUCGGC